GAGCCCAGCCCAGCUGUGGCUGGAGUUGGUGGGACAGGUCCGGAGAGGGCUGGGCCCUUAGCCUGGGGACUGUGGCCUGGGGACUAAGUGAAAGCCCAUGAGGGGACCAAAGGAUGAGGCCCCUGAGCUGGUCACCACAGCCAAAACCUGGGCACGGAGGAGGUGAGGGGCCCACACCAGAGUCAGCUUCCCAGACCGAGGACCGCCAGACCCUCCUUGUUCUCUGAUCAAGGGGAAGCUGAAAGACUCGGAUGGACCACGACCUCGAGAUGCAGCCACGUGGAGCCCCAGGGCCUGGAACCUCCUUUUCCCGUGGCCAUCUACUGGGGUGCCCUGCCCGCCCCUCAAAACUCCCUGGAGGGGUGUCACCUCUCAUCCCUGUUCUCAGGAAGACCAUCCAUCUGGACGCUUGCCCCCAGAGCCACAUCCCACAGGCUCCUGGUCGACUGGGACUAGGAGUGAGGGCCCGGAGCGUACCCCUGCAGGACACUGGCAAGAGUCUUGUGCCCAGAAAGCUCAGCUCCGUCUCCUUAACACUUCGCCAGCACAGCCACGCAUGGCCCCUGGGCCCCCUACCUUCUCACUGGGAAGAGCUGUCCGCCUCGGGCACCCAUGGAGGAGGAAGACUGCCCACUCCGGGCUCACCAUCUGUGACCCGAGCGCCAGGGGGCAGGGUCCACUCCGAGGACCCAGGUAGCCCAGGUCUGGCCAAACCCAGCAAGAUGCCCACGGUGGAGAAGCCCCUGGUGAGUUCAUACUUGACUCUACCUUUCCAAGCUCGGUUAGCUCAGAGUCCACCAGGUCCUGCAGGGCCAGGCGCAGGGGGUCAGAGGCACCCUGUCCCAGCGACUGCCCAUGUGCCCACCAGAGCUUCUCCAGGAAGAGGCAAGCCCCGGGCCAGGGGUAUUCCAAGACCCCGGCUGCAGCUCCAAAGGGCCACCCCUACCACGGGGCCUGCCACGGCCAUGGAUCUGGCUACUCCGGACCCCACACGGCCAGGCACAGCCAGACAUUUAGCCACAGCGGCCAAUAGACCUGGUUUGGCUGUCAACUUGGCUACACCAAACACCUCCAGACUGGACAUGGGCACGGAGUUCCCUGAUCUGGAUCCCAAACUGGGCACUGCCACGGACUUGGCUUCAGCAGGCACGACCAAGCCAGGCAUGGUCAUGGACUUGGUAACCUCAGACCCAGAAAAGGUGAGCAAAGCCAUACCUACAGCAGGCACAGCCAAGCCAGACACAACCACAGGGGGUCCAGCCAUGGACCUGGCAGUACCAGACUCAGUCAAGCUGGGCACAGCCAGGCCAGACAGAGCCAUGGUGCUCGGCAGGGCCAAUACAGCCAAUCUGGACAUAACUACCGAUUCUCUUGCUAUGCACACAACAAGCAGGCUGGGCAGAGCCAUAGGUUCAGUUGUGCCAGUCACCCCAGACCCAGCCACCGGGGAGAUCGCGCUGGACUGUGUCAUUAACCUGACUACAUCAGAUAUUGCUAUCUACCCAUCAAUGCUAAGCAGAAGCCCAGAUCCAGCCCUGGACCAUGUGACAGCCGAUGCUGCCACAGACCUGGCCACAGAGAUCACCAUGCUGGACCUGGCCAGAGAAAGCAGAGGGCUCCCGGAGGCCAGGACGGACACAGCCAUGUCAGAGCUGGUGCCGGAGCCCAGGCCGAAGCCGGCCGUGCCCAUGAAGCCCGUGAGCAUCAACUCCAGCCUGCUGGGCUACAUUGGCAUCGACACCAUCAUCGAGCAGAUGCGCAAGAAGACCAUGAAGACCGGCUUCGACUUCAACAUCAUGGUCGUCGGUCAGAGUGGACUGGGCAAGUCGACGCUGGUCAACACCCUCUUCAAAUCCCAAGUGAGCCGCAAGGCCUCCAGCUGGAACCGGGAGGAGAAGAUCCCCAAGACGGUGGAGAUCAAAGCUAUUGGGCACGUAAUAGAAGAAGGCGGCGUGAAGAUGAAGCUGACUGUCAUCGACACCCCGGGCUUCGGAGACCAGAUCAACAAUGAAAACUGCUGGGAGCCCAUUGAGAAAUACAUCAAUGAGCAGUAUGAGAAGUUCCUGAAGGAGGAGGUGAAUAUCGCCAGGAAGAAACGCAUCCCUGACACUCGUGUCCACUGCUGCCUCUACUUCAUCUCCCCGACUGGACACUCCUUGCGACCUCUGGAUCUGGAGUUCAUGAAACACCUCAGCAAAGUCGUGAACAUCAUUCCUGUCAUCGCCAAGGCUGACACCAUGACCCUGGAGGAGAAGUCUGAAUUCAAGCAAAGGGUCCGAAAGGAGCUUGAAGUAAAUGGCAUUGAAUUCUACCCCCAGAAGGAAUUUGAUGAGGAUUUAGAGGACAAGACAGAGAAUGACAAAAUACGGCAGGAGAGCAUGCCUUUCGCUGUGGUGGGAAGUGACAAGGAAUACCAAGUGAAUGGCAAGCGGGUCCUCGGCCGAAAAACUCCCUGGGGGAUCAUUGAAGUGGAAAACCUCAACCACUGUGAGUUUGCCCUGCUUCGAGACUUUGUCAUCAGGACCCACCUCCAGGACCUCAAGGAAGUGACACACAACAUCCACUAUGAGACCUACAGGGCCAAGCGGCUCAAUGACAAUGGCGGCCUCCCUCCGGUGAGCGUGGACACAGAGGAAAGCCACGACAGUAACCCAUGACGACCCUUUCUCUGUAUCAUCACACAUACUCACCUCUACACACACACACACACACACACACACACACACACACGCACACAUCCCCAAACCACCACCAACCACCUUCUUCCUUUCUGCUCUGUCCCACAGGCCUGUCUGAUAUUUGUGGAGCAUCUUGUCUACAGCGCGCAUGCGUGUGUGUGUGUGUGUGUGUGUGUGUGUGUGUAUGUACAUGUGAGAGAAUGCGCACGCAUGUGGGGGCGUGCAUGCGUGUGUCUGUGCAGGGCUGAGGUAUUUUCACUGCCCUCCCUGCAAAGUCCCUUGCAAGUUUGGCUCCUCCAUGGCUGUCCAUUAUCUGUCUCCUUUCCUUGUGUCCCAGAACACAGCCGAGUGCCUCACUCACAAGGUCUGGGGGAGGUUUCAUUUAAAAAUGAUGGGAGCAGGUGAGCCACAGGUAACUCUUUCUUAUCUCUGAACCCACCUGCAAACACAGUGACUUGCCACGAUUCUCCAAGGACAGUCUGUGGAGCUAGGCCCUGGGCGGGGGCGGGGAGUCGAGCACUUUACCCUCCCUGGAAGCCCAGGGUGGUCUGGGAUAAGGCUAGAACUUUCUGGGAAAAGAAAGGUCAGGGGGGAGCAGAGAAGCUGGGCUCCCGUAGAAAGAAUUAGUGCCUAGAAGUGGAGAGGAGAGCGUCACCCUUCUGUCCGUGUCACUGUCUGAAAGCUACCACCUGUCGCCAUCGCAGGCUGCUGCUUUCUGCGCUCCCCCGCCUUGUCCCUACAUUCUCUCUCCUCCCCCUUUUCCCUCCUUCCUUCAUCCUGCCCCCUCUGACUUCUUUCACUUCUAUUUAGCCUAACCCACAUCAGCUUCGUUUCUAUGUUUAGGACUGAUGCCCGGUCUACUUCCAUAAAUGACUUUAGGCCACUUAAAAUCACAGCUAAAAUCAUGGGACAGUACAAAUGGAGAUUACAAGAGGAACGGGAUCUAUAGAGAGGCAUGGGAAAGAAAGCUGCUGCAGUGAGCCCUGAAACUGGCCCAGGGCUUAUGGGUGGCCCAGCCAAGGAGGAGACACAGCAAGUUAUGCAGGUCCCAGGGUCUGGUUAAAGACGCACAUGUGCGGGUCAAGUGAGGCCACCUCUUUUUAGGCAUUAAGUUCUAGAAGAACUGAGUCUAAAGAAGUAUCAAGACCAAUAAUACACUGUAUUUGUCUUGGUAGUUUGGCUUCAGAGACAGUUUUAAACCACACCUCCCUUCUAUUAGGAUUCUUCCUUCUUAAAACGGGCUUCUCUCUUUCUCCCUUCUUCUUGUAUAUGCUUGACCCCUCUUCUACUUUCCCUUUCUCUCUGGUGUUGAAGCCAAUUGCAUUUUUGUCUGUCUUCCUUUGCUUUUCUCCAGCUCCCCCUCCUGACGCCCGGAGACAUUCCCAGUGAUACCCACAGUCAUACAUGGAGCCUUUUCUUGCCUUUCCUGUCCGCCCUCUAUUUAUUAAUGCAUAUAUUUCCCCUGUCCUUUUAGAGACAACUUAGUCUUUCUCCUUUGGUCUGUUAGGUGGCUGACAUUUGGGGCUGGGGUAACAAUGUAGCCUUAGGCAAGGGAAAACAAGUGAUACAGUUUACCAUAACCUCUUACCACAACGUCCUGUUCAAUCUCCUCGUCCAACCCUAGGUGUUUUACCGGUCCUCUGCAAAUUCCAGCGUUUAUAGUCCCUUAUCACUCAGGUGCUAGGAAAACACAUAGACUUAAGGAAGGCCAAGAAGAUUCAGUGGACCAGGAGAGAAAGAGGGAGAAGGCCUCCUGGGCACUGUCCUUCCACCUGUACCAGCCAUCCCCUGCCCCACUGCUGAAUGAAGGCCAUUCCAAGCGCCGCUCC
RNA transcript from Phacochoerus africanus (Common warthog), 4507 nucleotides. It is a transcript of the gene named septin 3, with no coding region annotated. The record is from RefSeq and is a predicted model, not a curated record. The transcript is spliced from 12 exons. NCBI's taxonomy places the organism in Eukaryota, Metazoa, Chordata, Mammalia, Artiodactyla, Suidae.